GAUGAACGCUGGCGGCGUGCCUAAUACAUGCAAGUCGAGCGAACAGACGAGGAGCUUGCUCCUCUGACGUUAGCGGCGGACGGGUGAGUAACACGUGGAUAACCUACCUAUAAUACUGGGAUAACUUCGGGAAACCGGAGCUAAUACCGGAUAAUAUAUUGAACCGCAUGGUUCAAUAGUGAAAGACGACUUUGCUGUCACUUAUAGAUGGAGUCGCGCCGCAUUGGCUAGUUGGUAAGGUAAAGGCUUAGCAAGGCAACGAUGCGUAGCCGACCUGAGAGGGAGAUCGCACACGCUGGAACUGAGACACGGUCCAGGCUCCUACGGGAUGCAGCAGUAGGAAUGCUUCCGCAAUGGGCGUAAUCCUAACGGAGCAACGCAGCGUCUUUGAUUAAGAUCUUCGGAUCCUAAACCUCUGUUAUUAGGGAAGAGCAUAUGUGUAACUAACUAUGCACUUCUUGACGUUGCCUAAUCAGGAAGGCACGGCUAACUACGUG
RNAcentral lists this ribosomal RNA (497 nucleotides) under uncultured bacterium. RNAcentral's name for it is "partial 16S ribosomal RNA". It matches the Rfam family "Bacterial small subunit ribosomal RNA", at positions 28 to 507 of the family's 1533-position model. The record is from RNAcentral.